GGGAUCCUCAGAGGACAAGGGAGGGCUGGACACAGAGGCAAGGAUCCACACAGAAAGGAGGUGAGGAGGUGGUGGCAGGGACGGCUUCUACUAGCCAAGGAUGGCCUGUGGCCACCAGUUAGGAGCUGAGGGGAGCCUGGGAUAGAAGGAACCAGCCCUGCCCUCAGCUGGAUCUCAGACUCCUGGCCUCCAGAGCAGAGAGAGAGUAAUCUGUUUUUUCAUGCCCUCCCAGUCUGUGCUGGUCCUUUCCGGCAGCUCCAGGGAACUAACCUCACGCGUCCCCUGUGCCCCCCAAGCACAGCUAAGCAGGACUCCUAAGCUAAACAGCUGCUGAAAUAGGUUUCAGUUUCUGCUCUGCAUUUCUUCAGGGAGGGAGAGGGGCUUGCAUUCCUUCAUUCCUUGAGACAGAGGCUUGGGAGCCCCAUCUGCCUUUUGGAGUCUAUUCAAAGGCAGCUCCAGGACCCCUUUGUGACUCACCCCACGAGGCAGGGUCCCCUAGCUCAGCACUUCAUGCUGCCUGUCAUGCUGGCUGGAGCGUCAUCCCAUACUCCCACAUCUGUCCUUCCUGGUGGACAGAGAGCUCCAGGGACAGGGAACAGAGCUGGCCAGGGGGACACAGAUGCCAUUCCCACCAGCUCUCCACUGCUGCUUCCUGCAGGAUGGGAGCACGGAAACACUCCUUAAGGUUCACCCUGAGAGCCACAAUACAGAGAUGGAGGGCAGACCGAGGAUUCUCCCUGGUUUGCAAGGCCCAGAAACAUCCCGACAAACAGGCACAGAGGGAGGCAUUUCUCCUAAAACCCCUGGCUCAGCAGCAGCUCCAUUCCGGUCAGACGUCUUGAUGGUUGCCCAUGGCAGUCCAAGACAAUUCCACUGUGGGUGUUUCUGGACCUCUGCUAUGAAGAUGCUAUAUCCCAAGAAUGUACUGGAAAUAUCCAAGAGACAAAGGUCCCAGAGGAACAAAUGGACUUUGAAGUCACACAAAUCUACAUCCAAGCCAAACUCUGAGUGUAAAGUGGAAUAAGUACACUCUUCCUUGCCUCUCUCACUGCAUGUAGCUAUAAACCCUGCACAGAAUAUGUGGAGAAGCUCUGUGAGGGCUCUGAAGCACAAACAUCAGGAAGAUGGAAGAAGAUCAGAAGUCAAAGUAUCAUAGAACUUGUGAUGAGUUUACCAUUUUUUAUUCCUCUGGUAUCUUCUAGUCUAGACCCAUUCCAGCCCAGAAGUGAGCAGUGACAAGGACAGAAGCUCCAGAAGUUCUCUAGCUCUGUUUGGAGGAGUGGGUCUCUAACACUCAAGAAAAUAGAGGAAAUGUACCAUUUUUUUCUUUCUUCCAGUCUCAUACCCCAAAUUCCAAGCAUUCCCACUGUGGCAACAGCAAUAGCAGCAUCAGUGAGAACCCAAAGGAGCCUAAAAUCCUGCAGGAGAAUCUUCUCCAAUUAGGGAAGCUGUGGUCUUAAAACAGUGGAAUAGAUCCCACUGCUUUUAUUAUUUCUUUGUCUUCUCACAAUUUAGCCCAAAAUUUGUUGUAGGAAGUCCAUGCCUGGGAAGAAUAAAUAAAGCCCUAAAUUUAUGGCCA
RNAcentral lists this long non-coding RNA (1579 nucleotides) under Vulpes vulpes (red fox). RNAcentral describes it as "lncRNA (ENSVVUG00000027054.1)". The record is from RNAcentral. Lineage: Eukaryota; Metazoa; Chordata; Mammalia; Carnivora; Canidae.